GGCGAACGCUGGCGGCGUGCCUAAUACAUGCAAGUCGAACGAACGGAUAAAGAGCUUGCUCUUUUGAAGUUAGUGGCGGACGGGUGAGUAACACGUGGGUAACCUGCCUCACAGCUGGGGAUAACAUCGAGAAAUCGAUGCUAAUACCGAAUGUGCUGAACAUCAUAAGAUGUUCAAGUGAAAGACGGUUUCGGCUGUCACUGUGAGAUGGACCCGCGCUGGAUUAGCUAGUUGGUAAGGUAAUGGCUUACCAAGGCGACGAUCCAUAGCCGACCUGAGAGGGUGAUCGGCCACAUUGGGACUGAGACACGGCCCAAACUCCUACGGGAGACAGCAGUAGGGAAUCUUCGGC
This 352-nucleotide ribosomal RNA is filed under the name uncultured bacterium. Its description in RNAcentral is "bacterial SSU rRNA". It matches the Rfam family "Bacterial small subunit ribosomal RNA", at positions 28 to 369 of the family's 1533-position model. The record is from RNAcentral.